RNAcentral lists this ribosomal RNA (323 nucleotides) under uncultured eukaryote. RNAcentral describes it as "partial 18S ribosomal RNA". It matches the Rfam family "Eukaryotic small subunit ribosomal RNA", at positions 1470 to 1796 of the family's 1831-position model. The record is from RNAcentral.
CCCUUAGAUGUUCUGGGCUGCACGCGCGCGACAAUGACGUUUGCAACGAGAUACGAGACCGAAAGGUUAAGUUGAUCUAGCAAGCUGCGUCGUGAUAAGGACUGUCGAUUGCAAUUAUUCGACACGAACGAGGAAUUCCUUGUAAUCGCACAUCAUCAGUGUGCGCUGAAUACGUCCCUGCCCUUUGUACACACCGCCCGUCGCUCCUACCGAUCGAGUGAUCCGGUGAAUGUUUUGGAUCGGUUGCAAGUUGCGCGACGCGCUUCUUGCAUGCUGUGAAAUCAUGUAAGCCUUAUUGCUUAGAGGAAGGAGAAGUCGUAACA